Molecule: small nuclear RNA, 107 nt
Organism: Notamacropus eugenii (tammar wallaby)
Lineage: Eukaryota; Metazoa; Chordata; Mammalia; Diprotodontia; Macropodidae
Source: Ensembl
GUGCUUACUUUGGCAACACAGGGGCUAAAAUUCAGCUGAUACAGAGACAAUUAGCACGAAUUCUGAGUAAAAAUGACUCACAAAUUAGGAAAGUGUUAAUACUUGUA